This is a long non-coding RNA of Bombus pyrosoma, 2803 nucleotides long. RefSeq lists it as uncharacterized. The transcript has 3 exons. Lineage: Eukaryota; Metazoa; Arthropoda; Insecta; Hymenoptera; Apidae. The record is from RefSeq and is a predicted model, not a curated record.
CCUGUUGGAAGAAAAAAGACAAAAAAGUCGCAAAAACAACGACACUCGAGUCUUGUUUUAAAACAAGCCUCGGCUGUUUGCAACGAUCGCGGCGCAAUCGUGUCGUCUAGUUUCGCCAGCAGCCUGACAAAUACAGGAUUUUUCUGUUUACGGAGUCAGCGAGAUACGUUCCUUUUCCGUAGAUGCCCAUCGCGACCAUUUUGAUUGUCAUCUCCAAGGCGAAGAAGGCGAAAAUGAUGUCGUCGAACAUCUGUAAGCCAGAAGGCCAGGCUGGCCGAUUAGACGACAACACGCUUAACCCGAUCGAGCGUAAUUGAUCAAGGACACUAGAGCAGCAAGUUGCAUUAGCUGUCGAACCACCGACUACUGUUCAAUCGCGUUUGCUUCCCUUUUCUCUUUGACGUGUGAAACCAAACGUGGAAAGCAGGACAAACAGCGCAAUUAAUCAAUCGCCUCCUGCAUCCAGACUUUCGUGCCUUGACAUUUUUUCUCUUUGAAGGAAACUUUCUUCGCGACUCUUCUUUCUCUUCUUUUCAUUUUUCUUCUGGCACGAGCCAGAAAACAAAGAUAGAACGAAAAUGGGACACGAAGUUUUCCAGAGAACCUGGAGGGACAGAGUUUCGCUGGGAUUUUUAUACCGACGUUAAUUUGAAUCGUCGGACGUGUAAAUUAACGUGUUCCUAAGCCUCGUAAAUCAGUUCGAUGGUUUUUGACUGAAUCGCGCUUUCUUGUGCGAUCGAUUCUUGAAAGCUACGAUAAGCGAAAUUUGUUUGAAUCCCACGCGAAGUUUGUUGCAAUAUCAUCGCGUUGCGAUGUGGUUAUUUGUAACCGAUAGCGCAGACAAUCGUUUUUCCCCCUUUUUAUAUAACAUCGAAUAGCGAUAAAACAUUUAAUUCUGUUUAAUUCGAUCUUGUUAAGCUUUCAACUUAAAAUAGACGUGAAGGAUUUUUAGCCUUUAGGGGUUGAAAUAUUUUUUUUUCACGUUUGAGAAAAAUGAGAAGGAAAAUUCGUGAUUUGUCGUUUCAAUCCUUCUGUCAAAAAUAUUCUUAGGGUAUCUGAAGAUGUUUUCUCAUGAUCGAAACAAAUGGGAUUAGAAUAACAGAAAGCCGAAGGAUUGCAACGAAAUUAAAAUUCAAUUUUCAUUUGUGGAUUGCAUAAUAGAAAUUUAAUCUUCGAAAUAGCGUUUAUUGGUUUUUAGAAUUUUGAUCCAUUUUCUCGAUUAAUCGCUGGACUCGGUGAAAUCACGCGCGCAUUUUUCGAUUCCAGUAAUACUGAAUAUCUUCAAAUUCAUUUGUAAAAUAACAAAACAUUUUUCUCGUAGUAUAUGGUCGAGCUGUGUAUGCAGAUUAGCGGAUAUUAACAAUGGGAUACACGUGAAUGUCAGAGCUGACCCGAAACGAGGCGAAAAACAGGUUAACAACUGGUUAAAUUCUAUACGCAUAUUCUGUAUGGCUUGAUAAUUAAGUCGUAUCACUAAUUAAAAUUAUUCAGCGUAGUCGCGCACGCUGACAUAAAAACGGCGAAAGAGAAAGAGCGUUGCGAUUUCAUCGCGCAAGCUGCAGUGGAAAGUGCAGCAACCUAUAAAUCGUGACGCACGGAAUUGUAAUUGCAACCUUUUGCCAAGUCGAGAAUUACGAGGUGGAUCUUUCACGUCGAUUGAAAACUGCAGCUCAUGAAAUAGUCCUAGAAAUCUGUUAUAAUUUUUCUUUUCACAUUAAAAAAAAUCAUUUUGUAUUCGUUAAAUAUAUAUAAAACCAUACCUCCAAAUUCAAUAACUUCAUUUCCUUCUUUCCCUUCUAAAAUAAAUCACAGAAAGACGCUGUUCUAGAACAUCCUAAUUCAGGACACCGGCUUAAUAUUAAAAUUGCCCACGUUCAUAAAGGUGACGCGAUAUAAAUAACUAAUUUUCAGAUAAAAAUUUCUUUGUUUUUCAACCGAAUUACGCUCGCGCUAUAUACCGCCCACUCAGAUUCAAUUUUCAUAUUUCAAGGGAGAAACAUACGGAAUCGAUGACGUAAUUUUAGUAAAGCUUCGAAGCUUGCAAAGCUUGUAGGAGACCUCUACGAAAUCGUAUUCUCCGAAGUUCGACGAAUUUUUGGAAACAACCGUUGCAAAUACAAAGCUUGCACGUUUUACAGUGGCACAAUGCGACACACGCUACGGCGACACUCUCCUUGGCGAAAUUGCGUUAAAAAACGAAAUUUUUUAUCGCGCCCCGUAGAAGAUAAAGCGAAAGAACUGACUGGCAGCAUUUUACCGUUUCUCUUCGACCAAUCGUAAAAUCGAUGGAUUUUUCUCUUUCGACGAUAUCCUGUCUCCUAACUAACGAAUGAGAACUCCAUUUCAAUUACUAAUUAUCAAUCAAUUAUUAAUAUAGGAAAUUUAUGUCAGCAGAAAUUUCCACGAGUUUCCAUACGAACAUUAAAUAUAUUAAAUCCGGGAAUAUAACGUAAAUAUGGUUUCGAGUUGGAGUAAGGGCACGAUCUUCAAUAAAAAUCAAACAAGAAGAAAAAUAACGCGCAAAAAGGUGGAAAUUUCAGUAAGUAAACACGUUGGGAGAACAACCCUCGAAAGUAGAGUUUCGAAUUUUGAGAACUUCUCGCCACUAAAAUAUGCGAAAAAUAUUCAUGCUUCAAAGUUGCACGAAACACAUUAUUCGUGGAACUUUUUGUCACCUUCAGUGGACGGGGAAAAAAUACGUUUACCAUUCAAACUCGAUUUUUUACAAUUCCACGACUUUAGUCCUUCUCCUACCGUCUCGUAUGAAGACCAAUAAACAACGUACGACGUUCUGUAACAUGUU